This 1481-nucleotide ribosomal RNA is filed under the name uncultured bacterium. Its description in RNAcentral is "bacterial SSU rRNA". It matches the Rfam family "Bacterial small subunit ribosomal RNA". The record is from RNAcentral.
AGAGUUUGAUCCUGGCUCAGGACGAACGCUGGCGGCAGGCUUAACACAUGCAAGUCGAACGUGAAGCCCGAGCUUGCUCGGGUGGAAAGUGGCGAACGGGUGAGUAACACGUGAGAAACCUGCCCCGGAGACUGGGACAACCACCGGAAACGAUGGCUAAUACCAGAUAUCCUCGGAUGGCCGCAUGGCCGACCGAGGAAAGCUCCGGCGCUCCGGGAGGGUCUCGCGGCCUAUCAGCUGGUUGGUGAGGUAACGGCUCACCAAGGCAUAGACGGGUAGCUGGUCUGAGAGGACGAUCAGCCACACUGGGACUGAGACACGGCCCAGACUCCUACGGGAGGCAGCAGUGGGGAAUAUUGCGCAAUGGGCGAAAGCCUGACGCAGCAACGCCGCGUGAGGGAAGAAGGCUUUCGGGUCGUAAACCUCUUUCAGUGAUGACGAAAAUGACGGUAGUCACAGAAGAAGCUCCGGCCAACUACGUGCCAGCAGCCGCGGUAACACGUAGGGAGCGAGCGUUGUCCGGAUUUAUUGGGCGUAAAGGGCUCGUAGGCGGUUCUGUAAGUCGGAUGUGAAAACUCAGGGCUCAACCCGGAGAUGCCAUCCGAUACUGCGGUGACUGGAGUCCGGUAGGGGAGCAUGGAAUUCCUGGUGUAGCGGUGGAAUGCGCAGAUAUCAGGAGGAACACCAGUGGCGAAGGCGGUGCUCUGGGCCGGUACUGACGCUGAGGAGCGAAAGCGUGGGGAGCAAACAGGAUUAGAUACCCUGGUAGUCCACGCCGUAAACGUUGGGCACUAGGUGUGGGAUCUGCUAACGGAUUCCGCGCCGUAGCUAACGCAUUAAGUGCCCCGCCUGGGGAGUACGGCCGCAAGGCUAAAACUCAAAGGAAUUGACGGGGGCCCGCACAAGCGGCGGAGCAUGUUGCUUAAUUCGAGGCAACGCGAAGAACCUUACCUGGGUUUGACAUGUACCGAAAAGCCAUAGAGAUAUGGUGUCCUUCGGGGCGGUACACAGGUGGUGCAUGGCUGUCGUCACCCCCGCGUCGUGAGAUGUUGGGUUAAGUCCCGCAACGAGCGCAACCCUCGUCCUAUGUUGCCAGCACGUAAUGGUGGGGACUCGUAGGAGACUGCCGGGGUCAACUCGGAGGAAGGUGGGGACGAUGUCAAGUCAUCAUGCCCCUUAUAUCCAGGGCUACAAACAUGCUACAAUGGCCGGCACAAAGGGCUGCUACACCGUAAGGUCAAGCGAAUCCCACAAAACCGGUCUCAGUUCGGAUUGGAGUCUGCAACUCGACUCCAUGAAGCUGGAGUCGCUAGUAAUCCCGGAUCAGCAACGCCGGGGUGAAUACGUUCCCGGGCCUUGUACACACCGCCCGUCACACCACGAAAGUCGGCAACACCCGAAGUCAGUGGCCUAACCCGUCAGGGAAGGAGCUGCCGAAGGUGGGGUUGGCAAUUGGGGUGAAGUCGUAACAAGGUAGCCGU